This 713-nucleotide ribosomal RNA is filed under the name Vibrio sp. 7G10. RNAcentral describes it as "bacterial SSU rRNA". It matches the Rfam family "Bacterial small subunit ribosomal RNA", at positions 33 to 735 of the family's 1533-position model. The record is from RNAcentral. Lineage: Bacteria; Pseudomonadati; Pseudomonadota; Gammaproteobacteria; Vibrionales; Vibrionaceae.
ACGCUGGCGGCAGGCCUAACACAUGCAAGUCGAGCGGUAACAAGGAUUAGCUUGUUAAUUUGCUGACGAGCGGCGGACGGGUGAGUAAUGCCUGGGAAUAUGCCUUAGUGUGGGGGAUAACUAUUGGAAACGAUAGCUAAUACCGCAUAACGUMUUCGGACCAAAGAGGGGGACCUUCGGGCCUCUCGCGCUAAGAUUAGCCCAGGUGGGAUUAGCUAGUUGGUGAGGUAAAGGCUCACCAAGGCAACGAUCCCUAGCUGGUCUGAGAGGAUGAUCAGCCACACUGGAACUGAGACACGGUCCAGACUCCUACGGGAGGCAGCAGUGGGGAAUAUUGCACAAUGGGGGAAACCCUGAUGCAGCCAUGCCGCGUGUAUGAAGAAGGCCUUCGGGUUGUAAAGUACUUUCAGUCGUGAGGAAGGGUAUYUAGUUAAUAGCUGCAUSCCUUGACGUUAGCGACAGAAGAAGCACCGGCUAACUCCGUGCCAGCAGCCGCGGUAAUACGGAGGGUGCGAGCGUUAAUCGGAAUUACUGGGCGUAAAGCGCAUGCAGGCGGUCUGUUAAGCAAGAUGUGAAAGCCCGGGGCUCAACCUCGGAACCGCAUUUUGAACUGGCAGACUAGAGUCUUGUAGAGGGGGGUAGAAUUUCAGGUGUAGCGGUGAAAUGCGUAGAGAUCUGAAGGAAUACCGGUGGCGAAGGCGGCCCCCUGGACA